AACAAAAAGGGUUAAGACACGAUAAGGGGUCAGAUCAAAGAAAAUAAAGCAUGCAUGAGUGAUCUGAAAUAACACAUCCAUUUUUUUAGAAAAGAGCAACAAUCAAAGGGGGAAAAAAGGGAGAAAAGAGAUCCGAUUAUAACAGUACGUGAGAUCUAUAUAUAAAGAAGAUGAAGAAAUGAAGAGGGUACCCAUGGGAAUUUGUUCACUUAGUCUGUGAAGGAAGUUGUUUGAGUCUGUAUCUGAAUUGUGUAUAUUUUGAAAAGUAGAAGUGAAUAGUGAAGGGUGAGGCUAUAGUUUGAUUUAUAAGCAUAACCAGUGAGGUUUGGGUUAUUAUAGAAUUCUGAUUCUUACGUUGAUUUUACAUGAAUGGAAUGGAAGGUAUUGAUUUGAGAAACGCAUAGGAAGAACGCUGGCAGAGGGAAGUAGCGACAAAAU
This 438-nucleotide long non-coding RNA is filed under the name Vigna radiata. RNAcentral describes it as "long non-coding RNA (VRAD_LNC007011)". The record is from RNAcentral. Lineage: Eukaryota; Viridiplantae; Streptophyta; Magnoliopsida; Fabales; Fabaceae.